RNAcentral lists this ribosomal RNA (484 nucleotides) under uncultured bacterium. RNAcentral describes it as "partial 16S ribosomal RNA". It matches the Rfam family "Bacterial small subunit ribosomal RNA", at positions 28 to 507 of the family's 1533-position model. The record is from RNAcentral.
AUUGAACGCUGGCGGCAUGCUUUACACAUGCAAGUCGAACGGCAGCGCGGGCUUCGGCCUGGCGGCGAGUGGCGAACGGGUGAGUAAUGCAUCGGAACGUGCCCAGUAGUGGGGGAUAGCCCGGCGAAAGCCGGAUUAAUACCGCAUACGACCUGAGGGUGAACGCGGGGGACCGAAAGGCCUCGCGCUAUUUGAGCGGCCGAUGUCGGAUUAGCUAGUUGGUAGGGUAAAGGCUUACCAAGGCGACGAUCCGUAGCUGGUCUGAGAGGACGACCUGCCACACUGGGACUGAGACACGGCCCAGACUCCUACGGGAGGCAGCAGUGGGGAAUUUUGGACAAUGGGGGAAACCCUGAUCCAGCCAUGCCGCGUGCGGGAAGAAGGCCUUCGGGUUGUAAACCGCUUUUGUUCGGGAAGAAAUCCUCUGGGCUAAUACCCCGGGGGGAUGACGGUACCGGAAGAAUAAGCACCGGCUAACUACGUG